GAUGAACGCUGGCGGCGCGCCUAACACAUGCAAGUCGAACGGUUAAAGCACCUUUUAGGUGUGUAUAAAGUGGCGAACGGCUGAGUAACACGUGGGCAACCUGCCCUCCUCUUGGGGAUAGCCUCGGGAAACCGAGGAUAAUACCCGAUACUUCAAUGUGGCCGCAUGACGACAUUGAGAAAGCUUUUGCGGAGAAGGAUGGGCCCGCGGCCUGUUAGCUUGUUGGUGGGGUAGAGGCCUACCAAGGCAAUGAUGGGUAGCUGGGUUGAGAGACCGACCAGCCAGAGUGGGACUGGGACACGGCCCAGACUCCUACGGGAGGCAGCAGUGGGGAAUCUUGCACAAUGGGCGAAAGCCUGAUGCAGCGACGCCGCGUGCGGGACGAAGGCCUUCGGGUUGUAAACCGCUUUCAGCAGGGACGAGGCGAUAAGUGACGGUACCUGCAGAAGAAGCCCCGGCUAACUACGUG
RNAcentral lists this ribosomal RNA (469 nucleotides) under uncultured bacterium. RNAcentral's name for it is "partial 16S ribosomal RNA". It matches the Rfam family "Bacterial small subunit ribosomal RNA", at positions 28 to 507 of the family's 1533-position model. The record is from RNAcentral.